RNAcentral lists this ribosomal RNA (253 nucleotides) under uncultured bacterium. RNAcentral's name for it is "partial 16S ribosomal RNA". It matches the Rfam family "Bacterial small subunit ribosomal RNA", at positions 524 to 776 of the family's 1533-position model. The record is from RNAcentral.
GACGGAGGAUGCAAGUGUUAUCCGGAAUCACUGGGCGUAAAGCGUCUGUAGGUGGCUUAAUAAGUCAACUGUUAAAUCUUGAAGCUCAACUUCAAAAUCGCAGUCGAAACUAUUAGACUAGAGUAUAGUAGGGGUAAAGGGAAUUUCCAGUGGAGCGGUGAAAUGCGUAGAUAUUGGAAAGAACACCGAUGGCGAAAGCACUUUACUGGGCUAUUACUAACACUCAGAGACGAAAGCUAGGGUAGCAAAUGGG